GCGGCGUGGUUAUGGGCGGUGGCGACGGGCCCCUUUUCCUAGUCCCCUCCCUCUGGUCCCACGGGGGCCUCAUCGUCGACUACAUCCACUGCCUCUCUCUCUGCUGGAGGAAGGAAAGGAUCUGGCCUGGGGGAUCAUCUUGCCCGUCCCUAUCUGCUUCUUUCACCACUUCUUUGUGCACCUUCUCAGGCAUCACUGCAGACGCGGGCCGUGGGAGGCGUCAAGGAGAUUUCUGACCAUGGGCAUCGCAGUGAGUACCGUAUCGCCGCGGCGUUCGGUCCAUUCUUGUUCUAUGAGCAGAUGCAACAGGUACAUAGUUGUUUAUUUCCAUUUGGCAGGGGUUAUGCAUGCCGACUGGGCUUCACAUUUUGGGUACCUUGCAUAGUUCUUGACAAAGCCCUUGCUUUUGUGCUUGCAAAGCUGGAACUAGAUGUUCCUGCUCCUAAAGCGUCUUCCUGUUGGGCUGGUUGGCAAUUGCUCCCGGUUUGCUCUGCUUCUACCAGGACUACUAUAUGUUGUUGCUUCCAAAAGUGAUUAUUCAGCUAGGAUCUGUCAUCUUCAAGCUUCUGAAUUGAUGUGUCACCCUGUUGAUAACCUUCUUCCAGAAGCCCCAGCCAAAGCACAUAAUUAGAUGGGUGACAUAUGCCUUUACCCACACAUCACUUCAUUUUAAAACCCCACUUCCUAUAAUUUAAAUAAAUAGCUUGAAUGAUGCGAGACAUUGUCUCGUGCUGUUAAUAGGUAUGCUACAAAACAUGCUUAGAUAUCUUCCAUUUGCUUACUCUUGGAGGUUGAUAUCUUUAUUUAUUUUUGUGCAGACAGCAAACUGCCACUUAUAUGGUCCUUGGAUUUGUGGCCUCUUCAAUUCAGAUUACAAAACUCUGUAUUAUUGAUGUGCGUGUAGUAACUCAAAUCACACCAUUAUUGGAAGCUUAUUUUCAUUGAUUUGCUAGUGCUUCUCAGCCUUCUCUGCAAUAGAUGCUUUUGAGAUGUCUUUAUAACAUUUAUAAAUUUUUCUGAGCUGUGAAGAACGUUCUGCUGGUUCAUCUAGGAUCUUACAAUGAGUGUUCAAUUCUUGGCAUACGAGUAAUAUGUGGUUACUAUUUCCUCUUGCUGCAGUAUCCUGUUACUCCAUGUUUUCUCUGCUAUUUGAGCCCCAGGUAUUACUAAUUAAAGUACUGCUGAUGGGUCAUACACUCCAUUCUCAUGUGAAUAGGCUUUUCCGGAUAUUUCAAGAUAUGGUCUGCUCCUCAAGGAAACCAAACAGAAUGCUUCAAGUGCUUCAGAUGUAAAACAAUGAUUUAUCAGACAAUUUGGAACACUUUACCCUCUGGGAUUGUUGGUGAAGUUUCGCGGUCAGCUACUGCACCCAUAUAUUCUACAGGCUCUGGUUCCUGAGUUUCAUGUUGAUUUCCAUAUAUUGUGCUGUUGGGAUGAUGUAGUCCUGGGCAUGGCAGCUCAGGCAGACAUAUAAAUAUUCAAGUCCAGUUGUUAACUUGAUGAUAUCCUUUUUUGAACAGCUUCAAGUUUCCAAUGAUAUUAGUUACUGAGGAAUUUUGUUUAAAAGCUAUCAUACAUUUUGGCUAUCAAUUUGACAUCCUGCUAAUUGUAUGUCUUGGACCACAACAUUACCUGUAUCCAUUAUCCUAACUGGGUGGUACCUAGAAGAAUCCAAGAAACAAAAAGAGGUUUCCAGCAUCACCAGCAAACUUCAGUUCAUGCCUCAUGUGCUGCAUUUGAACAAAUAAAUUUAAGUUUGAGAGACAAUAUCAGUGAAGUAAAUUAUGAAAAGGAAAUAAUAAUAAAUGUUCAUCAACUACGAGUUAUGAGGUUAUUUUGUUCCUCAUUCACCCCAGAUAUUUCCUUGAUAUGCUUUACUCUUAUAGUUCCUGCAAUUGUUUUUUGGUUAGAAGUCUACAUUUAGUGCUAGUGGCAGAACUUUGUGCCCGUUUCAAUCUAGUCCAAAAGAGUUUAGGUGUGCAGGGGACAAUCCACAGCACCAACUUUGGUCAAAGUUUUGUAUAGAUCAGAAUGAAUUGCUUCUUAAGUAUGGGGUGGGAAUUGGAAUGAUGUCAGUGGCCAUGGAAUAUUUUGGCACCAAACAAGAGCCUUGAGAUGCUAAUCAUGGAGUCAGAAUGUUUAAUCAUCACUAUUUUUAUGGCCAGAGUCAACAGCAUUACACCAAGAUGGGCAACAGCACUGUUGUUAUCUCAACAACUGAAUCAAAUGUUGAAGCCACUCAUUGUUCAAUAUUCUGCAAUAACACUGGCCUCAGAACCAGCUUGAGACAAUCUCAUGGGUUGAAAUUUGAGCCAACCAUUCCAGUAGGAAAAAAAGAAUAGUUAUCUUCUUUUUCCAGGCAGAGCAUGCUUCCUCACUCAGUUCUUGUGUUCUUUUUUAUCUGCAGAAAAAAGCUUUAGAAGUACAGCAAGAGCAAUCAUUUGAUUGAGCCAUCAUAUGAAAUUUUGUUGUUCCCUUCAUUAUGAGGCUAUGGAAGAAACUCAAAAAAGAAAUGAGAGCAAGUAUCCACUAGUGAAGAGAGCAUCAUGACAAUGUAUUUGGAGGGAAGAGCUUGUGUGCCCCAUUUACCACAUUACAAGUAGUGUGGAGAGGCAGAAGCCUUGUUGGAGCAGUAAAGAAGCAGAUUAAAGGGCAGACAUGAGAACUCUAUGUAUCAUUAUUCUAACCACACUCCUCCACCGACAGUCCCAAAGAGAACAAAAAGGCUGCUUCUAUCACCUGUGGACUAAUGAUGACAUCCAUUUUGUUAAACCAGGCAUGUUUGCAGACCAAGCAAGGGCAUCCUACUUUCUUCUCAGUUCUCAUGUUGCAUACAUACUUGGAUAAGAAUUAGGAUGCAGAUGCAUUAUAGACCAUCAGAGGAAUAUUUCAGUAGCAAUGUCAGAUGACAACCACAAUGAGAACACCCACAUUUUGUUGGGGAAGAGUGAGGGGGGAUAGACUAUGGUGGAUUUAAUCUUUAGUCCAGAAACAACACUAUGAACAUGGCAAGAACUAAAAGGACGAAUGUUUGAAUUGCCUUUCUUUUUUGCUGCUCAGCAUCUGUUUCCCUUGCUUGAUCCAUGUGAGAUGUGGGUGGUGGUUGAACCUACCACGAUCAACAUUUAUGCAAAUCACAGAGCUUAAAUAUGUGGAGUACCUCUUGGUCUCACUGGAAGACCUUCAUGUGCUCUGAGAAAGAUGAGAUCUUUAAUUGUGAUGUGAUGUGAUGUUCUUCACACUAGGUAACUUCUAAAGAGACUUCAAUUGAAUCUGCAAGGAAUACAGAGUUAGACAUGAUUCAGAUGGGGCCUCAACAUAGUUUGUACCAAUUGCACGAGUACUUGAUUAAGCCUCUGCUCAAUGCUCAUAAUUCAGUGCCAAAGGAUUCAUAUACAUGUUGACAUCCCCUUCAAGCGAGGAGCUUCAAAGGGAAGAAGAAAAUUGUGGACUUUUUAUUAUGUGAUGUGAAUAUUGUUUGUGAUCCAUUGCAAGAUGCAAUGUUGAGUGCCCCACCUACUGCAGCAUACAGUGCUGUUCUUGGUUUAACCAGUAAACUCCUCCAUCAAUCAGAACAGACAUGUCUGCUGCUUUUUCUUCUUGCUUCCAUAAUGGAGUAUACAAACUUAUCAUUCGGAUGAAUUAAUUGUUAGAGGUCCAUCCAACACAAAGUGUCACUGUUCCUGAAACUUUGUGAUCUGCCUAGGAUUCUUUUCACGCUUACUAGUGCUCCUGUCAUGCAAUCAUCUAUCCAGAGUUUGCCACACAAAGCAUACUUGUUUCAUCCAUUGAUUCCUCUUUCAAACACACGAAUUAUACUUGGACUGGUAUUUCCUGCACAAGAAAACAAUUCUGCUCUCAUAAUGCUACUUAAUGCUAGGAGCAGAGCUGAAUGAAUGCCUUCUGUCACUGAUUCAAAUGUACAUCAUGGAGAAUGCUGCAGCAUAUAAUGAGUUCCAGUAAAUAAAACUGAGAUCUAGCAAUGAUCCAUUUCAGGCUUUCCACCAUAGAUUUUGGAGGUCUAUCAACUUUCUGAGUUAAAGGCUCCCUAUAAUGUGAAUCAAUCAACAGAAGCAAACCAACUGAUGGAAGAAAGGGAGAAAUUGCUCAUAUGAGAAAUAGGGUUUUACCUUUUCCAUUCUGCUCAAGGGUUCUCAAAAACAUCUUUUCUUUGUCAUGCUACCUAGGGAAAUAGGGUUUUGAAACCCUAGGGGAUUCCAAAAGUCAUGCAAGUGCUUUUAGAAAGAAAUAAAUCCAUUUGGAAGAUUGCAAAGACUUCAACAGUCAACUUGUAGUUAUUUAAUUCUAUUAUAAAUAUA
Molecule: long non-coding RNA, 4319 nt
Organism: Musa acuminata AAA Group (dessert banana)
Lineage: Eukaryota; Viridiplantae; Streptophyta; Magnoliopsida; Zingiberales; Musaceae
Exons: 4
Source: RefSeq, a predicted model, not a curated record